This 253-nucleotide ribosomal RNA is filed under the name uncultured prokaryote. RNAcentral describes it as "partial 16S ribosomal RNA". It matches the Rfam family "Bacterial small subunit ribosomal RNA", at positions 525 to 777 of the family's 1533-position model. The record is from RNAcentral.
ACAGAGGUCUCGAGCGUUAGGCGGAAUCACUGGGCUUAAAGCGUGUGUAGGCGGAUCGUUAAGUGCCUUGUGAAAUCCCACGGCUCAACCGUGGAACUGCUUGGCAUACUGGCGGUCUUGAGCAACCUAGGGGCGAGCGGAACAAAUGGUGGAGCGGUGAAAUGCGUAGAUAUCAUUUGGAACGCCAAUGGUGAAAACAGCUCGCUGGGGGUUUGCUGACGCUGAGACACGAAAGCCAGGGGAGCAAACGGGA